UACGGAGGGUGCAAGCGUUAUCCGGAUUUAUUGGGUUUAAAGGGUCCGUAGGCGGACUCGUAAGUCAGUGGUGAAAUCUCACAGCUCAACUGUGAAACUGCCAUUGAUACUGCGGGUCUUGAGUAAGGUAGAAGUGGCUGGAAUAAGUAGUGUAGCGGUGAAAUGCAUAGAUAUUACUUAGAACACCAAUUGCGAAGGCAGGUCACUAUGUCUUAACUGACGCUGAUGGACGAAAGCGUGGGGAGCGAACAGG
Molecule: ribosomal RNA, 253 nt
Filed under: uncultured bacterium
Lineage: Bacteria
Description: partial 16S ribosomal RNA
Rfam family: Bacterial small subunit ribosomal RNA
Source: RNAcentral